This 503-nucleotide ribosomal RNA is filed under the name uncultured bacterium. Its description in RNAcentral is "partial 16S ribosomal RNA". It matches the Rfam family "Bacterial small subunit ribosomal RNA", at positions 30 to 523 of the family's 1533-position model. The record is from RNAcentral.
AUUGAACGCUGGCGGCAGGCUUAACACAUGCAAGUCGAGCGGGGUGAUGGUGCUUGCACUAUCACUUAGCGGCGGACGGGUGAGUAAUGCUUAGGAAUCUGCCUAUUAGUGGGGGACAACAUCUCGAAAGGGAUGCUAAUACCGCAUACGUCCUACGGGAGAAAGCAGGGGAUCACUUGUGACCUUGCGCUAAUAGAUGAGCCUAAGUCGGAUUAGCUAGUUGGUGGGGUAAAGGCCUACCAAGGCGACGAUCUGUAGCGGGUCUGAGAGGAUGAUCCGCCACACUGGGACUGGGACACGGCCCAGACGCCUACGGGAGGCAGCAGUGGGGAAUAUGGGACAAUGGGGGGAACCCUGAUCCAGCCAUGCCGCGUGUGUGAAGAAGGCCUUAUGGUUGUAAAGCACUUUAAGCGAGGAGGAGGCUCUUUUGGUUAAUACCCAAGAUGAGUGGACGUUACUCGCAGAAUAAGCACCGGCUAACUCUGUGCCAGCCGCCGCAGUAA